This 803-nucleotide unclassified non-coding RNA is filed under the name Hevea brasiliensis (rubber tree). The record is from RNAcentral. Lineage: Eukaryota; Viridiplantae; Streptophyta; Magnoliopsida; Malpighiales; Euphorbiaceae.
GUUUUGUUGCUUAAAAAAACGGAGACAUUACCCAACAAGGUUGUUGAAUAAUUCAAUUAGUCAGGUUUAAAGCUAAAGCAUACAACAAUAGUUUGACUUCAACAACUCAGAAAAUUAUUUUGGCAUUUAUCAUGAUGGCUCAACACUCAUCGCAACAUGCUCUAAUGACCACAGAAAUUCACUGCACAUAUUCACCCUUUCUUUGGUGACGCUGCAAGUCUAGUAUACAUUCUUGCCAUGGAUUGAUAACCUCUGAUAUCACCAGAACGUAGAAGAUUGCCUGAAUCACAGUUCAAAGGGCUAUCAGGUUCAGGGUGAGCCAUCAAAGCAAUUAUAGCCCUGCAAACAGACUGAAGUGUCCAGGCUGGGCUCCAUGCAUUCUUCAAGAUAUCAAGACAUAUCUCUCCUGUCUUAAAAUGCACAUUUGGAUGAAAUAUUUUUGUCAAGAACCGCACUUGAGGAGGCUGCAGAGGAUACUGCUCUGGAACAGAAAAGGCAAGUUGGAAGACUCCGCCCUCAUAAGGAGUCUCUGUUGGUCCCUUGAUAAGAGCAGUCCACUUAAAGAUGUUGGAAUCGUCACAAACUAAUUGAAUAUCAGGAUCAACUGCUUUCUCACGCUGCACCUCUUUGUAUUCCUUGAACAGCCUUGCCCUUGAUGCCUGCAUGCUAGUCCCUUCUUGGUAACCCAAUAGACUUCAGAAAGCCUAUAAAUCCAACGGUGACCAAAUAACUGAUAAGCUAUCUCAGAUGCGAUGGAAGUUACAGGGGACUUCGAUGAUCUGAUUGAUUGUUGAGAAGGAAUG